CAGGGAAUCUUGCACAAUGGGCGAAAGCCUGAUGCAGCGACGCCGCGUGGGGGAUGAAGGCCCUAGGGUCGUAAACCCCUUUCAGCAGGGACGAAGAUGACGGUACCUGCAGAAGAAGCCCCGGCCAACUACGUGCCAGCAGCCGCGGUAAGACGUAGGGGGCGAGCGUUGUCCGGAUUUAUUGGGCGUAAAGAGCUCGUAGGCGGUUGCGUAAGUCGGAUGUGAAAACUCAGGGCUCAACCCUGAGACGCCAUCCGAUACUGCGCUGACUUGAAUCCAGUAGGGGAGUGCGGAAUUCCUGGUGUAGCGGUGAAAUGCGCAGAUAUCAGGAGGAACACCCAUGGCGAAGGCAGCACUCUGGGCUGGUAUUGACGCUGAGGAGCGAAAGCAUGGGUAGCGAACAGGAUUAGAUACCCUCGUAGUCCCUGAGCGGGCUGGCAAGGCGCAU
This 448-nucleotide ribosomal RNA is filed under the name uncultured bacterium. Its description in RNAcentral is "bacterial SSU rRNA". It matches the Rfam family "Bacterial small subunit ribosomal RNA", at positions 355 to 825 of the family's 1533-position model. The record is from RNAcentral.